UGUCCCUUCAAGGUGUUCUCCCUGUGG
RNAcentral lists this non-coding RNA (27 nucleotides) under Mus musculus (house mouse). The record is from RNAcentral. Lineage: Eukaryota; Metazoa; Chordata; Mammalia; Rodentia; Muridae.